AGUGAAUAGAUACCCCGGUAGUCUACGCCGUAAACGAUGCGCACUAGGUUCGAGGUCCCCUGACGGACCUCGGGCCGAAAAACAAAAAAGCGUUAAAGUGCGCCGCCUGGGGAGUACGGCCGCAAGGCUAAAACUCAAAGGAAUUGACGGGGGCUCACACAAGCGGUGGAGCAUGUGGAUCAAAUUCGAAGCAACGCGAAGAACCUUACCUGGGUUUGACAUGCUUGGAUGGUCGCCUUGAAAGAGGAGUGAUCUGCCCGNAGGUGAAACAAGUACAGGUGCUGCAUGGCUGUCGUCAGCUCGUGCUGUGAAGUGUCGGGUUAAGUCCCUUAACGAGCGAAACCCUUAUCGUUAGUUGCCAGCGGGUCAUGCCGGGAACUCUAACGAGACUGCCGGCGUUAAGCCGGAGGAAGGUGGGGACGGACGUCAAGUCAUCAUGGCCUUUAUGCCCAGGGUGUCGACACGUGCUACAAUGGAGCGUACAGAGCGAAGCAAGACCGC
This 501-nucleotide ribosomal RNA is filed under the name uncultured bacterium. Its description in RNAcentral is "bacterial SSU rRNA". It matches the Rfam family "Bacterial small subunit ribosomal RNA", at positions 773 to 1258 of the family's 1533-position model. The record is from RNAcentral.